RNAcentral lists this ribosomal RNA (253 nucleotides) under uncultured bacterium. Its description in RNAcentral is "partial 16S ribosomal RNA". It matches the Rfam family "Bacterial small subunit ribosomal RNA", at positions 524 to 776 of the family's 1533-position model. The record is from RNAcentral.
UACGCAGGGGGCUAGCGUUGCUCGGAAUGACUGGGCGUAAAGGGCGCGUAGGCGGCUUACAUAGUCAGGCGUGAAAUUCCUGGGCUCAACCUGGGGGCUGCGUUUGAUACGUGUAGGCUUGAGUUCGGAAGAGGGUCGUGGAAUUCCCAGUGUAGAGGUGAAAUUCGUAGAUAUUGGGAAGAACACCGGUGGCGAAGGCGGCGACCUGGUCCGAAACUGACGCUGAGGCGCGAAAGCGUGGGGAGCAAACAGG